AGGUGUUUGUUCAAGGUUACAACGCGAAAUAAAAAAGUAGGGUACAGUCAUGUUUUACUUAUUGGGCCUGGAUAACGAGCAAGAUAAGGUUGCAUCCCGUUUGGAGGGACGGGGAAUAUAUAUAGAAUAAAUUCUGUUCCACAAUAACCUGUUGGGUGACUGUUCCAGACAUCUAAUGGAGCAGCGGUGGCAUUUACAAGAAUUCUCUACUGAGGGUGUCAGCCAUCAUUUCAAUCUCAGCUGAGAGCUUGUCAGAGACGAUUAUCAAGCUAAUUUGUGAGGCAGAAAAACUCAAUCCAGUGACGCUGUUGAUUCCAACCUCUGUUUCCAGAUUGUCUGGAGGGACUGUUAUGGUGGAAAAUGCAAUUGUGUGACAGAGUCAGGUGCUGCGUUAUGCAUGUGCAUACGAAGGGGAGUCAGAUUUGUCCAGGGAGUCAAAUUUUGAUACAACUUUCAUUCACCUGGGCUCAUGUGGUUUGCGCUGUGCACUGGUCACUACAAACUCAAUGGAAUAGGAGCACAUAAUUAUGUUUCGUUAAAUAAGUUGCAUAUAAAGUUUACGUUUCAAAAUUGCCCAAAUUUUGUCAACGAGCUAAUGCCAUUUUUUACAGUACCUGCAAAAUCGAAUUCAAAACUGCCCAAUUGGGUGAGAAACCCCCCAAUUUGGCAACACCGGCAGUAAAUUGUUAAACAUUCCGUUGUCCUCCUUGAAUCUCGUGAUAUAAAAACUGCUGUUACUGCAUAUUUUACAUUUUG
Molecule: long non-coding RNA, 756 nt
Filed under: Danio rerio (zebrafish)
Lineage: Eukaryota; Metazoa; Chordata; Actinopteri; Cypriniformes; Danionidae
Description: si:ch211-157l15.4 (ENSDARG00000096774.3)
Source: RNAcentral